CAGGAACAGAAAACCAAAUACUUUAUGUUCUUACUUAUAAGUGGGAGCUAAAUGAUGAGAACACAUGGGUACAGGUCAGGGAACAAGACAUACUGGUGCCU
Molecule: long non-coding RNA, 101 nt
Organism: Cebus imitator (Panamanian white-faced capuchin)
Lineage: Eukaryota; Metazoa; Chordata; Mammalia; Primates; Cebidae
Exons: 3
Source: RefSeq, a predicted model, not a curated record